AGACCCGAAACCCGGUGAUCUAGCCAUGGGCAGGUUGAAGGUUGGGUAACACUAACUGGAGGACCGAACCGACUAAUGUUGAAAAAUUAGCGGAUGACCUGUGGCUGGGGGUGAAAGGCCAAUCAAACCGGGAGAUAGCUGGUUCUCCCCGAAAGCUAUUUAGGUAGCGCCUCGUGAACUCAUCUCCGGGGGUAGAGCACUGUUUCGGCUAGGGGGCCAUCCCGGCUUACCAACCCGAUGCAAACUGCGAAUACCGGAGAAUGUUAUCACGGGAGACACACGGCGGGUGCUAACGUCCGUCGUGAAGAGGGAAACAACCCAGACCGCCAGCUAAGGUCCCAAAGUCAUGGUUAAGUGGGAAACGAUGUGGGAAGGCCCAGACAGCCAGGAUGUUGGCUUAGAAGCAGCCAUCAUUUAAAGAAAGCGUAAUAGCUCACUGGUCGAGUCGGCCUGCGCGGAAGAUGUAACGGGGCUAAACCAUGCACCGAAGCUGCGGCAGCGAACGUAUCACCCAAGACAACUUUGCGGAGUUGACGAUUGACGGAGCGAAGCGACGUCAAAGCGUUCAUUAAAGUCGAGUUGGCUUAGGGAUACGUUCGUUGGGUAGGGGAGCGUUCUGUAAGCCAGUGAAGGUGUGUCGUGAGGC
This 646-nucleotide ribosomal RNA is filed under the name Salmonella enterica subsp. enterica. RNAcentral's name for it is "partial 23S ribosomal RNA". It matches the Rfam family "Bacterial large subunit ribosomal RNA", at positions 711 to 1269 of the family's 2925-position model. Lineage: Bacteria; Pseudomonadati; Pseudomonadota; Gammaproteobacteria; Enterobacterales; Enterobacteriaceae. The record is from RNAcentral.